UGCAGCUUUUCCUACAAUAGCCAUCAGCAUUGUUAGAACCUACCAUAUAGAUAGGGUUCUUCUUGCACUCACCCGCCUUUGCCCACAGAGGGCAGUUCUCAUUUUCAUCAACGCAAUCCCCAUUUCUUGAUUGCUUCAGAGAUUUCUCGAAGGACCUGACAUGGAUCCAUUUGGUUGCAGACCACUUCUCACCCUCAAUAACUGGGCAGCUCCCAUGCAAGCUGUUUGGAUCAGUAGUUGCAUCAGGAUGAAGACUGAAGAACAGUAAAGCAUCACCCUUAUUGGGUUUCACUGCAUAGCCAUUCUUAGCACAGUCAGACAUGCUAUCAUCCUUUGGCUGAGACAUUUUUGCCUGUGAGUUUGGGAACACUGUUUCCCCACCCCUCUCAACAUU
This 394-nucleotide unclassified non-coding RNA is filed under the name Hevea brasiliensis (rubber tree). Lineage: Eukaryota; Viridiplantae; Streptophyta; Magnoliopsida; Malpighiales; Euphorbiaceae. The record is from RNAcentral.